This 244-nucleotide ribosomal RNA is filed under the name uncultured bacterium. Its description in RNAcentral is "partial 16S ribosomal RNA". It matches the Rfam family "Bacterial small subunit ribosomal RNA", at positions 89 to 334 of the family's 1533-position model. The record is from RNAcentral.
UGGCGACCGGCGCACGGGUGAGUAACACGUAUGCAACCUACCUUUAACAGGGGGAUAACACUGAGAAAUUGGUACUAAUACCCCAUAAUAUCAUAGAAGGCAUCUUUUAUGGUUGAAAAUUCCGAUGGUUAGAGAUGGGCAUGCGUUGUAUUAGCUAGUUGGUGGGGUAACGGCUCACCAAGGCGACGAUACAUAGGGGGACUGAGAGGUUAACCCCCCACACUGGUACUGAGACACGGACCAG